UUUUUUCUAAAAAUGGCGUCCGUAUCAGACGUCAAAAGAAAUUUCACAAAAAAACAGAACAUUUUUCAUGAAUUGUGAAAACGUAUUUAUUUCAGUGUGAACUCAAAUUAUAAAAUCCACGUAUGUUUUGUAUUUCAAAACAGAUAUUGGGAACUAAAUUGAUAGAAAAGUCGUACGCUAUGAUUUGAUGAGGAAUCAAUUCAAGAAAACUGAAGGAUGCAAGCCCUACGUUUCAUUUUGCAUGAACACCGAAAAUGAAGUUCAUUCACUCUUCAAUGUUAAAUCAAAAAUGUCAACUCGUGGGUUGUAAAAGAUUCUUGGUGAACAUAUCCCGACUUACCGAGUUUGGUAGGAAUCUAUUUGCUCAUACAUUCGGUUUUAUUUAAUACACUACAUCAACCUGAGAUUGUAAGAAAAAAUCGCAGAAAAAUAUCCAAUCAUGCAAUUCUGCAACGCAUUAACAAGCUAAUAAUGCGACAUCUUAUAUCUUCAUAGAAACCUUUGAAAAAAGCAACAAUGAGGCAAUUGAAUGGAUGGACAGCGAUGUCUUGGAUUUACCUCUCCCUGUGAUGUACUUAAUAAGCCCAAUGG
This is a long non-coding RNA of Episyrphus balteatus (marmalade hoverfly), 591 nucleotides long. RefSeq lists it as uncharacterized. The record is from RefSeq and is a predicted model, not a curated record. NCBI's taxonomy places the organism in Eukaryota, Metazoa, Arthropoda, Insecta, Diptera, Syrphidae. The transcript is spliced from 3 exons.